GACAAACGCUGGCGGCGUGCAUAAAACAUGCAAGUCGGACGAGCCAAUCCCCGCAAGGGGAAAGGCUAGUGGCGAACGGCUGAGUAACACGUAGGUGAUCUGCCCUGAAGUGGGGGAUAACGACUCGAAAGAGUCGCUAAUACCGCAUGUGACCACCGAUUCGUUUUCGGUGCUCAAAGUCGUAAGACGCUUUAGGAGGAGCCUGCGGCGGAUUAGCUAGUUGGUGAGGAAUGGCCCACCAAGGCUUCGAUCCGUAGCUGGUCUGAGAGGAUGGCCAGCCAGACUGGGACUGAGACACGGCCCAGACUCCUACGGGAGGCAGCAGUUAGGAAUUUUGCGCAAUGGGGGGAAACCCUGACGCAGCCACG
RNAcentral lists this ribosomal RNA (368 nucleotides) under uncultured bacterium. RNAcentral describes it as "bacterial SSU rRNA". It matches the Rfam family "Bacterial small subunit ribosomal RNA", at positions 28 to 396 of the family's 1533-position model. The record is from RNAcentral.